AUGGUUCUCCGAGCCUGCGUACCUAAGGAAAAGGAUCUAUGGUUAUCAGGCCGUCAGGGUUGCUUUGGAAACGAAACAGCCUCCCUUUGGAAAGGAGAAC
RNAcentral lists this non-coding RNA (100 nucleotides) under Cloacibacillus porcorum. Its description in RNAcentral is "Moco (molybdenum cofactor) riboswitch". It matches the Rfam family "Molybdenum/Tungsten riboswitch aptamer (Moco RNA motif)", at positions 11 to 122 of the family's 135-position model. The record is from RNAcentral. Lineage: Bacteria; Thermotogati; Synergistota; Synergistia; Synergistales; Synergistaceae.